RNAcentral lists this long non-coding RNA (5889 nucleotides) under Homo sapiens (human). RNAcentral describes it as "HSALNT0399726". Lineage: Eukaryota; Metazoa; Chordata; Mammalia; Primates; Hominidae. The record is from RNAcentral.
GAGACACACCCAGCGGCAGCCGUUGACUCCCUCCACCCUUGCUUCCCUCUCAACCAUCUCACCUCCAUCUGUCCAGUGGAGCCAGAUGUCCCACCUUCUUGGGAGAAAUUAAUUGAGGCUCAUUUCCAGGACAGAGGGGCAAGCUGGGUCUGAGGAGCCAAGCAGAAAAACUUCCCAAAAUCACUGGGUGGGGAGGGGUCAGAGACUUACUGCUGCCCCAGCUGUUCUGACUCUGCCCCCAGCUUUUGGCCCCACCCUUUUAAAGCACCUUCAGAGGUUCCCAAUGGUGACAGUAAACAAGUCUCCACUGUCCUGGCCAUCUCUGCUGUGUUCACCCUACUCCUGAUCUUUCUGGCUGCUCAGGGACUGACAGCCAAGAUGUGAGGCUGUGAUGAGCAGGAACAGGGAGGCCUGGAGCCCCCAGCCAUUGUCAUCACUUCCCUGAUCUGCCUAAAUUCUGCCCAGCAGUCCGUGAAAAUGGUUUGCUGAUGACAUAUGUAAGGACUUUAACUCCCCUCAAGCAAUCUGCUCAUCUCAAAGGAUUUGCAAUGAUCAAGAGGCGUCCUGUGAAUGCAGUUUGCAAAGGACUUAGGCACACAGCAUCUCCUUUGUUCUCACCACAAGGCUGCCGGGUGUGCAGAUGUGAGGAUUAUUUCAAUGGUGAAGAAGCAUCCUGAGAGGUUACGUAGUUCAACUAAUGUCACACCAAGAGCAGGAGAGCAUCUGGGCAUUUGGACAUGGAAGGUGUGGGGCACAAGCAUCUCAUGGCCAGGGAACGGGGGAGGAGCAUCUCAGAGCUGCAUCAGAGUUCAUGCUGGUCCUAGGACAAGAGUCAAGCACACCCUGCUUUCACCAGCUGCUGGUAGCUUUCACUCAGGCCACCUCUCUUUGCCAGUCUUGACAAAUAAUUUCUUAGUGAAGCACCUAUUUCAGGCUGAGCCACAAGAUGUCAGCCUAAGCUUAGUCAUUUUGAAUUUUCCUGGCCCUUGAAACAACUACAUUUUUUCACUUUUAUGACCAAGAAAAAGUCUGAGAAGCUCACGACCCCUCAGGAUUAGGUACAGAGACCACAGCAGCUGCUUGCCCUGGGAGCUCUUCAUGCCUGUUCUCAGCCAUCUUCAGUGAAGAUUUCACAGGAUAACCCAAACUGGCUCCUUUCUGUGACACCACCCAGGGAACUGCAUUCCAAGUGUGGGUGUACACGGAUCUCCACCAUUGGUCCUUGCUCUCUCUCCUGUCCCAUCCUUUCUCCCCUUCCUCAGUUAUGCUCUGGGGCAGGUGAGUAAUCCUGCAUGCCUUCGGAGAUGUCCAUUUGGGAAUGAGAUCCUACCUUUCCUUUUCCCAGGCACCCCCAGCCUUAUGAGGGAUUCCCAUCACGUGGCUUUAGAGAUGAGAAGGCAUCUUUGCCAUGAACUCUUGCUUCAUCAGGUUGAAACUCACUCUUCCUGUGAACCCCCCACUUCUCUCUAUUCUUUCACAUGCUGGGAAGGGGACUGCAGAGACCUUUAGGGAUAGUACAGAGGAUGUGUCUCCUCGUGGCCAGCCCAGGGCAGGGACUGGACCCAGUGGUUUGCAGCCCUUUUUAGAAGGUUGGCAUUUAACUCACUUUGUCCUUAGGUUUGGUUCAUUGUCAUCAAGAUGGAGCGAUGAUGAAUGUCCUCCUCAACAUCUUUUACAUUUUACACUGAUAACAGUUAUUAGAAAGAACAAAGUUGGACUUGUGGAUCAGUGUGCAGUACUAGAGAAAAGAGGAAAACUCUAACCUAUUUUGAGUACUUACUUUUUUUCAUCUAAUUGUCACAAGACAGUGAAGUUGCUAUCACCUUCACUUGAUAAAUGAGGAAAAUUUGAGCUCAGAAAGUAUUCAGAAACUCGUUCAGGGUCUUAGAAUGAAUGAGUGAGACAGAAACACAAGUCUGUCUGAUUCUAGAGUCCUGUUUUUUUCUUUCAUUCUUUCCUUUUGAAAAAAUUCCCUUUACUACUUCUGCAUUUGAUACAAAGUGGUAUCUGGUAAAUGGGCCUGAAAACUUUCUAAAUAACUAGUUUUAAAUAAUCUCUGUGGAAAUUUAUACAAACAAAAAACUUCCUUGAAAAAGUAUAAACUCCCUCUUCCAGUAGGCUACGACAGACUCUCAAAUCAUCCGCUUCAAUCAUUUAGAGCUGCCAUGUGCCUUUGGCCUCCUGGUUAAAACUACAUAGUCAGAAUUGGAAAUACAGGUAGCUAUUAGUAGGAACAAAGACAGUGAAUGUCCAGGACAGAACUGAGCUGCAUUUCUAGGUUUGAAUGGAACCAGUAAUAAAAGUCCAAAAUAAAUGAUCACCUCCACCAUUCACUCUUCUAUGAUGGGUGUAAUGUAUUAUUUUUUCUUUUUUAAAAAAAAUUUUAUUUUAGGUUCAGGGGUACAUGUGCAUGUCUGUUAUAUAGGUAAACUUGUGUCAUGGGGGUUUAUUGUACAGGUUAUUUCUUAGCCCAGGUACUAAACCUAGUACCCAAUAGUUAUAUUUUUCUGCUCCUCUCCCUCCUCCAACCCUUCACCCUCAGGUAGGCCCCAGUGUCUAUUUUUCCCCUCUUUGUGUCAAUGUGUUCUCAUCAUUUAGCUCCCUCUUUUACAUGAGAACAUGCAGAAUUUGGUUUUCUAUUCCUGUUAGUUUGCUAAGGAUAAUGGCCUCCAGCUCCAUCUAUGUUCCUGUGAAAGACAUGGUCUCAUUCUCUUUAUGGCUGCAUCAUAUUCCAUGGUGUAUACAUACCACAUUUUCUUUAUCCAGUCUAUCAUUGAAGGGUAUUUAAGUUGAUUCAAUAUCUUGGCUAUUGUGAAUACUGCUGCAGUGAAAUAUGCAUGCAUGUGUCUUUAUAAUGGAACAAUUUAUAUUCCUCUGGGUAUAUACCCAAUAAUGAGAUUGCUUGGCCGAAUAGUGGUUCUGGUUUUAGCCCUUUGAGGAAUUGCCACACUGCUUUCCACAAUGGUUGGACCAAUUUACACUUCCACCAACAGUGUGUAAGCAUUUCCUUUUCUCUGCAACCUCCUCAGCAUCUGUUAUUUUUUGACUUUUUAAUAAUAGCCAUUUUGCCUAGUGUGAGAUGGUAUCUCACUGUGGUUUUUUUUCUUUACUUCAAUAGGUUUUUGGGGGACAAGUAGUGUUUGGUUACAUAACUAAGUUUCUUUAGUGGUGAUUUCUGAGAUUUUGGUGCAUCCAUUACCCGAGCAGUGUACACUGUAUCCAAUGUGUAGUCUUUUAUCCCUCACCCCCUCCCACCUUGUCCCCCAAGUCCCCAAAGUCUGUUGUAUCAUUCUUACGUGUUUGCAACCUCAUAGCUUAGCUUCCACUUAUGAUUGAGAAUAUCUGAUGUUUGGUUUUCCAUUCCUGAGUUACUGCACUUAAAAUAAUGGUUUCCAGUUUCAUCCAGGUUGCUGUGAAUGCCAUUAUUUUGUUCAAUUUUAUGUCUGAGUAGUAUUCCAUGGUAUAUAGAUAGGUACAGAUAUAGACAUAUCACAAUUUCUUUAUCCAAUCAUUGAUUGAUGGGCAUUUGGGCUGGUUUUACAUUUUUGCAAUUGGGAAUUGUGCUGCUAUAAACAUGCAUGAGCAAAUAUCUUUUUCAUAUAAUGACUCAUUUUCCUUUGUGUAGAUACCCUGUAGUGGGAUUGCUGGUUCAAAUGGUAACUCUGCUUUUUAGUUCUUUAAGGAAUAUUUACACUGUUUUCCAUAGUGUUUGUACUAGUUUACAUUCCCAUCAGCAGUGUAAAAGUGUUCCUUUUUCACCACAUUCCCUCCAACAUCUAUUAUUUUUUGAUUUUUUUAUUAUGGCCAUUCUUGCAGGAAUAAGGUGAUAUCGCAUUGUGGUUUUGAUUUGCAUUUCCCUGAUCAUUAGUGAUAUUGAGCAUUUUUCAUAUGUUUGUUGGGCACUUGCAUAUCUUCUUCUGAGAAUUAUCUAUUCAUGUCCUUAGCCCACUUUUUGAUGGGAUUGUUUGUUUUAUUCUUGCUUAUUUGUUUGAGUCCCUUGUAGAUUCUGGAUAUUAGUCCUUUGUGGGAUGUAUAGAUUGGGAAGAUCUUCUCACAUUCUGUGGGUUGUCUGUUUACUCUGCUGAUUGUUUCUUUUGUUGUGCAGAAGUUUUUUAGUUCAAUUAAGUCCAACUAUUUAUCUUUGUUUUUGUUGCAUUUGCUUUGGGGUUCUUGGUCAUGAAGUCUUUGAAUAAGCCAAUGUCCAGAAGGGUGUUUCCAAUGUUAUCUUCUAGAAUUUUUAUGGUUUAAGGUCUUAGAUUUAAGUCUUUCAUCCAUCUUGAGUUGAUCUUUAUAUCCCAUGAGAGAUGAGGAUCCAGUUUCAUUCUUCUACAUGUGGCUUGUCAAGUAUCUCAGUACCAUUCGUUGACUAGGGUGUCCUUCCCCUACUUCAUGUUUAUAUUUGCUUUGUCAAAGAUGAGUUGGUUGUAAGUAUUUGCCUUUAUUUCUGGGUUAUCUAUUAUGUUUCAUUGGUCUAUGUGCCUAUUAUACCAGUACCAUGCUGUUUUGGUGACUAUGGUCUUACAGUAUAGUUUGAAGUCAGGUAAUGUGAUGACUCCAGAUUUGUUCUUUUUGCUUAGUCUUGCUUUGGCUAUGCAGGCUCCUUUUUGGUGCCAUGUGAAUUUUAGAAUUUUUUUUUCCUAGUUCUGUGAAGAAUGAUGGUGGUAUUUUGAUGGGAAUUGCAUUGAAUUUAUAGAUUGCUACUGGCAAUAUGGUCAUUUUCACAAUAUUGAUUCUAUUCAUCCAUGACCAUGGGAUAUAUUUCCAUUUGUUUGUGUUAUCUAAAAUUUCUUUCAAAAGUAUGUUGUAGUUUUCCUUGUAGAGGUCUUUCACCUCCUUGGUUAGGUAUAUUCCUAAGUAUUUUUUUUCUGCAGCUAUUGUAAAGGGGGUUGAGUUAUUGAUUUGAUUCUCAGCUUGGUCGCUGUCAGUGUAUAGAAGAGCUACUGAUUUAUGUACAUUAAUUUUGUAUCAUGAAGCCUGCUGAAUUAAUUUAUCAGUUCUAGGGGCUUUUGGAAGGAGCCUUUAGGGUUUUCUAGGUAUAUGAUCAUAUCAUCAGCAAACAGUGACAGUUUGAUUUCCUCUUUACUGGUUGGAUGCCCUUUCUUUCUCUUGUCUGAUUGCUCUUGCUAGGACUUCCAGUAAUAUGUUGAAUUGAAGCGGUGAGAGUGGGCAUCCUUGUCUUGUCCGAGUUCUCAGGGGGUAUGCUUUCAACUUUUCCCCAUUCAGUAUUAUGUUGGCUGUGAGUCUGUCAUAGAUGGCUUUUAUUACAUUAAGGUAUGCCCCUUCUAUGCCGAUUUUGCUGAGGGUUUUAAUCAUAGAGCAAUGCUGGAUUUUCUCAAAUGCUUUUGCUGUGUCUAUUGAGAUGAUCUUGUGAUUUUAGUUUUUAAUUCUGUUUAUGUGGUAUAUCACAUUUAUUGGCUGUGUAUGUUGAACAUCUCUGCAUCCCGGGUAUGAAACCCACUUGAUCAUGGUGGAUUAUCUUUUUGGAUAUGCUGUUGGAGUCGGUUAGCUAUUAUUUUGUUAAGGAUUCUUGCAUCUGUACUCAACAGGUAUAUUAGUCUGUAGUUUUCUUUUUUUGUUAUGUUCUUUCAGUAUAAUGUAUUUUUUGAAGGAAAACAUGAAUAAACCAAUGUUGUAUCUACUGAAGUCAUUAUUGGUGCUCUCUCUCACUUGCAACCUGCCUUCACCUAAGGUCAUACGAAGCUUCUAGGGUUCCCUCCUCAGUUUCCUCCUUCUAGGGUUCCCUAUCAGAUUCAGAUUCACCACUUUUUUUGUACCAAACUUAUUUUAAUGUUCCCUACAAUGUUGAAAUAAAAUUCAUAGAUCACAUGACCUAUCUAGACACAAAAUCUUUAAAACCAUCAAUAUAUUAAACUAUAAUACAAAUAAAAC